AUCCUUUUGUAGUUCAUAAGCAUGACGACUGGGUUUUCACGAGCAUGUGUGAGAUGUGCCUCCCUCAGUCCUUGUUACGACGUUGGCACAUUACCUGUCUGACA
Molecule: small nucleolar RNA, 104 nt
Organism: Microcebus murinus (gray mouse lemur)
Lineage: Eukaryota; Metazoa; Chordata; Mammalia; Primates; Cheirogaleidae
Source: Ensembl